AUUUUCAUAGUUUAAAAAAAAACAUUACACUUUCAUUGUAAAUUUAGGUAUUACCUUGUAAAUA
RNAcentral lists this transfer RNA (64 nucleotides) under Kirchnerius guangxii. RNAcentral describes it as "tRNA-Glu". The record is from RNAcentral. Lineage: Eukaryota; Metazoa; Arthropoda; Insecta; Coleoptera; Lucanidae.